RNAcentral lists this ribosomal RNA (645 nucleotides) under uncultured bacterium. RNAcentral's name for it is "bacterial SSU rRNA". It matches the Rfam family "Bacterial small subunit ribosomal RNA", at positions 229 to 888 of the family's 1533-position model. The record is from RNAcentral.
AUUCGCGGCCUAUCAGCUUGUUGGUGAGGUAAUGGCUCACCAAGGCAUCGACGGGUAGCUGGUCUGAGAGGAUGAUCAGCCACACUGGGACUGAGACACGGCCCAGACUCCUACGGGAGGCAGCAGUGGGGAAUAUUGCACAAUGGGCGCAAGCCUGAUGCAGCAACGCCGCGUGCGGGAAGAAGGCCCUAGGGUUGUAAACCGCCUUCAGCAGGGAAGAAAAUAACGGUACCUGCAGAAGAAGGCGCGGCCAACUACGUGCCAGCAGCCGCGGUGACACGUAGGCACCAAGCGCUGUCCGGAUUUAUUGGGCGUAAAGAGCUCGUAGGCGGUUUUGUAAGUCGGGUGUGAAAACUCUGGGCUCAACCCAGAGAGGCCACUCGAUACUGCAAUGACUUGAGUACGGUAGGGGAGCGGGGAAUUCCUGGUGUAGCGGUGAAAUGCGCAGAUAUCAGGAGGAACACCAGUGGCGAAGGCGCCGCUCUGGGCCGUAACUGACGCUGAGGAGCGAAAGCAUGGGUAGCAAACAGGAUUAGAUACCCUGGUAGUCCAUGCCGUAAACGUUGGGCACUAGGUGUGGGUCUCAACCAACGAGAUCCGCGCCGUCGCUAACGCAUUAAGUGCCCCGCCUGGGGAGUACGGAAU